Lemur catta (Ring-tailed lemur) is the source of this 245-nucleotide long non-coding RNA. RefSeq lists it as uncharacterized. The record is from RefSeq and is a predicted model, not a curated record. The transcript has 3 exons. NCBI's taxonomy places the organism in Eukaryota, Metazoa, Chordata, Mammalia, Primates, Lemuridae.
CAGAUGUCGAUCCUGGUGGAGGAAAUCAAGCAUCCCAAAAGCUGCUACAGGAUCUUGCUGUUCUUCGGGAACAAAACCUACUUCCGGAAAAAAGUGGUUACCAAGGAAUAUCUCGUUAACAUUACUGAAUUCAGAGCCCCUCAUUCCUCUCCAGUUCAGUGGUAUCAGGAUUAUGAGCAUGAGGCCCACAGCCACGCACACCAGAACAGCAGUCUUAACUUCUUCAACUGGUUUUCUGACCACAA